GAGUUUGAUCUUGGCUCAGAUUGAACGCUGGCGGCAGGCCUAACACAUGCAAGUCGAGCGGAUGACGGGAGCUUGCUCCUUGAUUCAGCGGCGGACGGGUGAGUAAUGCCUAGGAAUCUGCCUGGUAGUGGGGGACAACGUUUCGAAAGGAACGCUAAUACCGCAUACGUCCUACGGGAGAAAGCAGGGGACCUUCGGGCCUUGCGCUAUCAGAUGAGCCUAGGUCGGAUUAGCUAGUUGGUGGGGUAAUGGCUCACCAAGGCGACGAUCCGUAACUGGUCUGAGAGGAUGAUCAGUCACACUGGAACUGAGACACGGUCCAGACUCCUACGGGAGGCAGCAGUGGGGAAUAUUGGACAAUGGGCGAAAGCCUGAUCCAGCCAUGCCGCGUGUGUGAAGAAGGUCUUCGGAUUGUAAAGCACUUUAAGUUGGGAGGAAGGGCAGUAAGUUAAUACCUUGCUGUUUUGACGUUACCGACAGAAUAAGCACCGGCUAACUCUGCGCCAGCCGCCG
Molecule: ribosomal RNA, 513 nt
Filed under: bacterium enrichment culture clone ALO1_GLFRUDD03HD8HS
Lineage: Bacteria
Description: bacterial SSU rRNA
Rfam family: Bacterial small subunit ribosomal RNA
Source: RNAcentral